GAUGAACGCUGGCGGCGUGCCUAAUACAUGCAAGUCGAGCGAAUGGAUUAAGAGCUUGCUCUUAUGAAGUUAGCGGCGGACGGGUGAGUAACACGUGGGUAACCUGCCCAUAAGACUGGGAUAACUCCGGGAAACCGGGGCUAAUACCGGAUAACAUUUUGAACCGCAUGGUUCGAAAUUGAAAGGCUGCUUCGGCUGUCACUUAUGGAUGGACCCGCGUCGCAUUAGCUAGUUGGUGAGGUAACGGCUCACCAAGGCAACGAUGCGUGGCCGACCUGAGAGGGUGAUCGGCCACACGGGGACUGAGACACUGCCCAGACUCCUACGGGCGGCAGCAGUAGGGAAUCUUCCGACAGGGACGAAAGUCUGACGGAGCAACGCCGCGUGAGUGAUGAAUGCUUUCGGGUCGUACAACUCUGUUGUUAGGGAAGAACAAGUGCUAGUUGAAUAAGCUGGCACCUUGACGGUACCUAACCAGAAAGCCACGGCUAACUACGUGCCAGCAGCCGCGGUAA
Molecule: ribosomal RNA, 515 nt
Filed under: uncultured bacterium
Lineage: Bacteria
Description: partial 16S ribosomal RNA
Rfam family: Bacterial small subunit ribosomal RNA
Source: RNAcentral